CCUACGGGAGGCAGCAGUGAGGAAUAUUGGUCAAUGGACGAGAGUCUGAACCAGCCAAGUAGCGUGAAGGAUGACUGCCCUAUGGGUUGUAAACUUCUUUUAUAUGGGAAUAAAAUGUUCCGCGUGUGGGUUUUUGUAUGUACCAUAUGUACAAGGAUCGGCUAACCCCGUGCCAGCAGCCGAGGUACUACGGUGGAUCCGAGCGUUAUCCGGAUUUAUUGGGUUUAAAGGGAGCGUAGGUGGAUGUUUAAGUCAGUUGUGAAAGUUUGCGGCUCAACCGUAGAAUUGCAGUUGAAACUGGCAGUCUUGAGUACAGUAGAGGUGGGCGGAAUUCGUGGUGUAGCGGUGAAAUGCUUAGAUAUCACGAAGAACUCCGAUUGCGAAGGCAGCUCACUGGGCUGCAACUGACACUGAGGCUCGAAAGUGUGGGUAUCAAACAGGAUUAGAUACCCCAGUAGUC
Molecule: ribosomal RNA, 460 nt
Filed under: uncultured bacterium
Lineage: Bacteria
Description: partial 16S ribosomal RNA
Rfam family: Bacterial small subunit ribosomal RNA
Source: RNAcentral